This 77-nucleotide small RNA is filed under the name Xanthomonas axonopodis. RNAcentral's name for it is "sX9". It matches the Rfam family "Xanthomonas sRNA sX9". Lineage: Bacteria; Pseudomonadati; Pseudomonadota; Gammaproteobacteria; Lysobacterales; Lysobacteraceae. The record is from RNAcentral.
AUGUACCACUUGUACACCGCGGUUCUGAGCGCGCCGUCCACACCCUCCUGACGACUGCUCGCUACGUUUUGUUAGCC